This is a long non-coding RNA of Cyprinus carpio (common carp), 753 nucleotides long. RefSeq lists it as uncharacterized. The record is from RefSeq and is a predicted model, not a curated record. The transcript is spliced from 4 exons. Lineage: Eukaryota; Metazoa; Chordata; Actinopteri; Cypriniformes; Cyprinidae.
UCUUCAAGUCGUGUUACGCCGCUAUGCUACAAGUCGCUGCUAUCUCAACAAUACACGAAACAAUGGCUGAAAAUUACCAGGGUAAGUGUUUUUUCAUCUGAGUUAUUUAAAUAUAUUUUAACGUGAAUAUUUGUUUAAUGUCUCGUGGUUAUAAUCUCUAGGUGGCUUUGCGAAUCAGGAUUUCGACGAUGGUCUGGAACAGAUCCUUGAAGAGCUAUUCGAUGAGGCGGAGCUAUUUGCUUGUGAUGAUGACGGUGCUGUUAAUAACGGUGAGCACGUUGAUACCAACAGUCACGUGAUAAUGUUACCUACAGAGGACGUUUUACAAGAGGUUGUGGUUAGUGCGGACGUCACAAAUCCCACUCCCGCCCCAGUUCCGUCUUCAGAGGAACGGUCUCACACGCUCCCAGACUGUUCAAGUGUUCACAUACCAGGUACUUCCAGGCCGCGUCACUCGCAGGGUCAGGGGGUUAAACGUUUGAGGCUACCGGAGCACGAAACGGAUGAUGCACCGACCACCAGUUGUUUAAGGACUUCGGAGAAUAACGAACAAGGGUACGACGAAGGAGGCCUAACAGCGUGGACUGAUUCGCAGAUACAUGCGUGGGAUCAAGGGUCCUUCAGUGCUUCGGAAAGCGAGGAGGGGGAUGAGGAAUUACCUCACGAAAUUCCUCAGGAAUUGUUCCGUGAGCGUGAUUUAAACAGAAGGCUUGAUUAUGAUAUGCUGCGCCGUGUUAAUCGGAGCUUUGAGAC